This 1510-nucleotide long non-coding RNA is filed under the name Bos indicus x Bos taurus (hybrid cattle). Its description in RNAcentral is "lncRNA (ENSBIXG00000016538.1)". The record is from RNAcentral. Lineage: Eukaryota; Metazoa; Chordata; Mammalia; Artiodactyla; Bovidae.
CAGCUUCCACCUGACAGGUGCUUGAUUUAAUAACCACCCCCCCACCUCCACCCCGGCCCAGCCUCGUAUCAGCCCUGACAUGCCCAGGGAAUAAGACGGCAAAUUAGAGAGAUGGAAACUCCACUUCACUGCAAGCCAAGAUUUAGAUGGUCCUCGUAGCCCCUUAUUUAUAAAGUUUGGGUUUCCCUUUCACCUUUCAGUGAGAUUGGGAUGGCUUGCUGGCCCUAAAUAGUAAUGAAUUUGGGGCUGUGUUCUGCCUCCUGGCAUGAAGUGCUUAAUGAAUGUUCCCAUCUUUCUACAGGGAAAUCUCUCUCUCUGCUAAUUGCUGUCAUCAUCCAUCAAGAUCACCAACAGAGCAGCAUUCCAGCCAGAGAGGCCUUGGGGCCCAGAGAGGAGGGCCACCAAUUCUCCAAGAGCCAGAAAACUCUUCCUGAAAACCUUCCACAGGUAAGUGUUUCUCGCCAUACAAAGAGUAGCUCCUCCAAUGCUUCUCUCAGAUGGGUGCGCUAGACAGGGUCCAGAUGCAAUUUCAAGUUUAUCUCACAGUUCUUGUCACAAUCAAUAUUUGCUGAAUGAAAUGAGUAUAAAUUAAUGGUGAGAAUUUCAUGCACCAUAAUGAGAUUUGAGGGAAGCUAUUUUGGGGCAGAGAAUGGGUUAUUGAUCUCUCUGAAAUCACAUAACUUAGACAACUGUACAUUUUAUCGUUCUUAAGCUCAGAGCUGGGGCUUCAUAGACAAUGAGGUUGGCUUAAAAUUAAUUGAUUGAUUAUGGACUGAUUGAUUGAUUGAUUCUCUCAUCAGGUAUACACAAUUUUAAAACUCUUUUUAAAAAAUCUAUUUUUAAUUUGUUUUAUUAUUUCUUAACCUUUUAUUUUGUAUUCAGAGAAGGCAAUGGAAACCCACUCCAGUACUCUUGCCUGGAAAAUCCCAUGGACGGAGGAGCCUGGUGGGCUGCAGUCCAUGAUGAGUAUAGCUGAUGAACAAUGUUGUGAUAGUUUCAGGUGGACAGUGAAGGGACUCAGCCACACGUAUACAUGUAUCCAUUCUUCCCCAAACUCCCCUCCCAUCCAGGCUGCCACAUAACACUGAGCAGAGAUCCCUGUGCUGUAUAGGAGGUCCUUGUUGGUUAUUCAUUUUAAAUACAGCAGUGUGGACAGUUUGAAUACUCGCUGAGUGUCAGACACUUUUAUCUGGGGUUUGAGUAUACUGAGAUAAACAGAAUAUAAUUCCACCAACUUCAUUAUCUGUUUGGGGGAGAAGUCUUGACAAAAAGUACAUGUAAUUCAGUGUGUGCACUGAUGAGGGCUUGUACAGAAUGGGCUGUGUGCCCAGGGGGCCAGUGUGAGAGGCUCUAUGUCUGAGAUUCAGGGUGAGCUUCGUGGAGGUGGUAAUACUCGUUGGCCUUUUAUAGGGAGAAAGACUUUGCCAGCUGGAGAAAGAAGUAGAAGUAGAGGAGGAAAAAGAAAUCCCUGGGGGAGGGAGGGGGGCAGGAAGCACGUGUAGAAUAUAGA